CAGCACAGGAGCAAAUCGUUGCCCCAGCGCCUAGAUCCAUCUGUGCCUGAGCGUGGCACAGGUGGGGUUUCCAGGCACAGGAGCCAACACAGCUCGGUUUUUUUGCCCAAGUCCGUCUGCAUCCAUCAGGCUCCUGUGCCUUGUAACCAGAGGAGCCCUGGCUGAUGUCGGAAGAAGGAGGAAGGGGUGAAGGGUGAAAACACCAGUGCCGUCUGUUGUCACCCUGCUGUGUGAGCCUUCCCAUGAGCUGCAUUUAAGAACUUGCACUUUCACCUUGUUGGCCCCAAAUCGCCGAUACGGCCACCACGCUGCCAGGUGAUCAAAAUAUCCACCUCAUCCUAAGUUCCCCUUUCAUGGAAUGAAGAAAUAUGAGGCUGGAGGUAGUCCUAUCCCUUGAUCCGGCCCAUAGCCCGGGGCACUGAGAGAUGAUGGACGCUCAGAGGGCAGAGCUCUUCUCCUCCUCCGUGCCUGGAACCCUUUUGGAUUUCUGGGAAUCUCCUUUGAGACCACAGCUGUUCUAGGAUGAGGCAACCUAUGAGAACUGUUGGCUGCUGACCUCGUCAUUGUUGGCUGCCAGGUGAGCAGACAUGGGCAGGGACCCAGGGGGCGGGGCUGGGCCCAGGGAGGAGCUGGCAGAGCUGGGCAGGGCAGGGCCGGAGAGCGGGCUCCAACUCUGGAUGCAGAGGUGGCCCGUGGCCCCGGCUGGCCAGCGAGAGCACCAGGGUCCCGUGGAUGCGGCGAUGACUCAGGAGUGGACACGUGAUAUUGGCCGGUCCAGUGGGAGGAAAUUGCAAGCCGUUGUCUGGAAUGGUAGGAAAAAGAAGAGUGCUGAGGUCAUAAGUGAGAAGCUGAGGCCUGGCGAUGGCUGCAGGCUGUCUCUGCCCCCACGGGGAGGGCCGACCCAGGGGUGCAGCCGGCACAACAAGCCAGAACCACGAGACAGAUGUAGAUUCUAGAAGGACUUCCUUCAACACCCACAUCCACCUGGGCCCAGAGUCUCUGACUUCCAAUGGCUUGGACUUCUCUCCUGUGCUGUAAAGCCAGUCUGGGUUGGGUCUCUGACCCUGGCUCCUGAGAGGAUGCAGGGAAGAGGAGAGCUGACUCAGCUCAGGAACCAGAGUGAGGUCUGCAGACCCUGCGACAGCUGUGUCCAGAGGGAGCAGAGGGCUCUGUGCAGGUGCGGGAGCAUUGCUGUAUUUGCCCAGCUGCCAGGUAAAGGAGGGGCAGCCCUGAGUAGUUCCAGAGACCAAGGGUGGACCGAACGCGCACGCACAUUCAUGAGAGCCAUGCAACGAUUUGCUUGGGUGGCUGCGUGAACCUAUGGGCACAGGUCCACAGAUACCCUGCAGAAACGCACACACACAAAUACAUCUCAAACAGUUUAAAAAUGUGCAGCCAAAAAAAAAAAGUACACACCCUCUGACCUAGGAAUUCCACUUCUCGGAAAAUGCCCUAAGGACAGAAUAAAGGACGUGUGCCAAGACCUAGCUUCAUGGAAUUUCCCUGCAGUGCAGCUUGUAAUAACUAAAAGUUGGCAACAAUCUGGAUCCCAAUAGGGAGUGGUUAAAUCCGCCGCAGCAGGAGAGCACAGCAGCAUGCUUGUCAGGCCCCAAAGAGAACCGCAGAGCUGUUUGCUUACAUGGGACGAUGAGUGCCAUUUGCUGUUGAGUGAAAAAAAGCAGCUUGAAAAUAGUCUGAGUCCUAUGAACCCAUUUGGGUAAAAAAGAAGUCAGAAUGAGCAUGGAAAAGAGUCGGUGUAGCUGAGGUUGUUCCUUCGUUGCUGGGAUUGUAGCAUUCUUCCUAUUCCUGUAGGAAUCGAGUGUUGAUCUGUGGGUGGGAAAAAACAAACUUGAUUUUGAAAAGGAAUAUGAAUUCUAUACAUGCAUAUGUUCCAUGUGUGAAAAUGAGGUACGUAUAAAGAUUGAGAUUGCAGCGUUACUCAUAAGAGCAUAAGGUCGGACACAACCUGCCUGUCCAGCAGUAGGGGAUUGAUGAGAGAGCUCAAGGCGCAGUUGUUCAACGGGAUGACGAUGGUGCCAUUACAAAGCUGAGGAACCUCCAGAUAAGCUCCGAUCAGGAAGAGUCUUCAAGAUACAGAUCGUCUUCCCAGUCCCUGCCUGCCGAGUCCUCUUCACUCCGCUGCUCUGCCUGGCGUCCAUCUGUGAUCUGGUUGUCUGUGUAUUGGUGGUCUCCUGCCCUGGGCCACAGGCUGCACGGGGGCAGGGCCGGGCCACGCUGUCCUUGCUGUAUCCCCAGCACCUGACACCUGCUGC
RNAcentral lists this long non-coding RNA (2273 nucleotides) under Equus caballus (horse). RNAcentral's name for it is "lncRNA (ENSECAG00000058752.1)". Lineage: Eukaryota; Metazoa; Chordata; Mammalia; Perissodactyla; Equidae. The record is from RNAcentral.